This 818-nucleotide ribosomal RNA is filed under the name Microkayla illampu. RNAcentral's name for it is "partial 12S ribosomal RNA". It matches the Rfam family "Bacterial small subunit ribosomal RNA", at positions 9 to 1350 of the family's 1533-position model. Lineage: Eukaryota; Metazoa; Chordata; Amphibia; Anura; Craugastoridae. The record is from RNAcentral.
UGAGAUGAGCCUUAAAAACCUCUUUAAACACAAAGGUUUGGUCCUAACCUUAAAAUCAAUUCUUACUUAAUUUACACAUGCAAGUCUCUGCAUCCCCGUGAAAACGCCCUUAAACCCCUUCAGGGAUAAGGAGCUGGUAUCAGGCACAACAAAUCGCCCAAAACACCUAGCUAUGCCACGCCCACAAGGGUCAACAGCAGUGAUCAAUAUUAAACAUAAACGGCAGUUUGAUUUAGUUAAAGUAAACAGAGCCGGCAAAACUGGUGCCAGCCGCCGCGGUUACACCAUGAGACUCAAAUUGAUUUGUACCGGCGUAAAGCGUGAUUAAAGCCUCAAAAUUUUUAGGGCUGAAACUGGGCUAAGCCGUGACAUGCUUGCCCACUAAAAACUCACACAACGAAAGUUGCCCUAAUUUGACCAACUUGAACUCACGAUAGCUAGGACCCAAACUGGGAUUAGAUACCCCAUUAUGCCUAGCCCUAAACUUUUACUUACACCCGCCCACACGCCAGGGAACUACGAGCAGCGCUUAAAACCCAAAGGACUUGACGGUACCCCACAUCCACCUAGAGGAGCCUGUCCUGUAAUUGAUAACCCCCGCUAAACCUUACCACUCUUAGUUUAUCAGCUUGUAUACUUCCGUCUUCAGCUUACCCCGUGAGCGUAACUCAGUAAACUUAAUGCCUACUCCGCCAAUACGUCAGGUCAAAGUGCAGCUAAUACAGUGGAAAGAGAUGGGCUACACUCUCUAACCUAGAGGAUACGAAAGACUAUGCUGAAAUCAUACCAGAAGGNGGAUUUAGAAGUAAAAAGGAAGC